ACACGGUCCAGACUCCUACGGGAGGCAGCAGUAGGGAAUCUUCCGCAAUGGGCGAAAGCCUGACGGAGCAACGCCGCGUGAGUGAUGAAGGUCUUCGGAUCGUAAAACUCUGUUGUUAGGGAAGAACAAAUUUGUUAGUAACUGAACAAGUCUUGACGGUACCUAACCAGAAAGCCACGGCUAACUACGUGCCAGCAGCCGCGGUAAUACGUAGGUGGCAAGCGUUAUCCGGAAUUAUUGGGCGUAAAGCGCGCGUAGGCGGUUUCUUAAGUCUGAUGUGAAAGCCCACGGCUCAACCGUGGAGGGUCAUUGGAAACUGGGAAACUUGAGUGCAGAAGAGGAGAGUGGAAUUCCAUGUGUAGCGGUGAAAUGCGCAGAGAUAUGGAGGAACACCAGUGGCGAAGGCGGCUCUCUGGUCUGUAACUGACGCUGAUGUGCGAAAGCGUGGGGAUCAAACAGGAUUAGAUACCCUGGUAGUCCACGCCGUAAACGAUGAGUGCUAAGUGUUAGGGGGUUUCCGCCCCUUAGUGCUGCAGCUAACGCAUUAAG
RNAcentral lists this ribosomal RNA (549 nucleotides) under Staphylococcus sp. RNAcentral describes it as "bacterial SSU rRNA". It matches the Rfam family "Bacterial small subunit ribosomal RNA", at positions 324 to 864 of the family's 1533-position model. Lineage: Bacteria; Bacillati; Bacillota; Bacilli; Caryophanales; Staphylococcaceae. The record is from RNAcentral.